Molecule: non-coding RNA, 4200 nt
Organism: Manis javanica (Malayan pangolin)
Lineage: Eukaryota; Metazoa; Chordata; Mammalia; Pholidota; Manidae
Source: RefSeq, a predicted model, not a curated record
GUCGCCCAGGCUACGCCGCCUGCCCCGCGAGUCCUCGGCCCGCGUCCGCAUCCGGUAACCGUGCCUCCCGCCCCCUCAGCGGCGCCUUAUAUGUCGCCCACGGCCGCCGCUGGGUCAUGGAGCGCGCACGCCGGGCCCGGCGAUGGAGCUGCCAGAGCGGCUGCUGCUAGACAGACUGGCCUACCUGGAGUGCGUCCUGGGCGUCCUGGCCUUCCUGGUGCUCAGGCUGGCUGGCCCGCCCUACGGGCGCCACGUGUCGCCGCGCUCCGCGUUCCUGCUGCCGGCGCGGGUCGCCUGGGCUGUGCAGGAGCUACCCUCGCUGGUGGUGCCUCUCGUCGUGUGCUGCUGCGCGGAGGCCGAGCGCCUCCACAGCUGGCCCAACCGCAUCCUGCUGGCUAUGUUCCUCGUCCACUACACGCAACGGUCCUUAAUUUUCCCAUUUCUGAUCCGAGGAGGAAAGCCAACACCAGUGAGAACAUGUAUAGUGGCAUUCACGUUCUGUACCUAUAACGGCUACUUGCAAAGCAGAUACUUGAGCCAGUGUGCAGUGUAUGCUGAUGACUGGGUCACUGACCCCCGAUUCCUAGCAGGUUUUGUCUUAUGGUUAAUAGGUACUCUGAUAAACAUCCAUUCAGAUCAUAUCCUAAGGAAUCUCAGGAAACCAGGGGAGAAUGGAUAUAAAAUACCACGGGGAGGCUUGUUUGAAUAUGUAACCGCAGCCAACUACUUCGGUGAGGUCGUGGAGUGGUGUGGCUUCGCCCUUGCCAGCUGGUCCCCCCAGGCCGGGGCUUUCGCUCUGUUCACAGCCUGCAGCUUAUUCAGCAUAGCCCAGCAUCAUCACCACCUGUUCAUCAGACUUGAUGACAAAAAGCAAGAUUUGUGACCACUUGGCAAGUGUUUCCUCAGCUCUCCAGGAUCUGUCUGCACCAAAGGAAGACUGCUGUGAGGGAAAUUUGGGAAUACUAAGCUGUUUGUAAGCCAGAAAAAGCAAUAACUGCUUUGGAGAAUUAUCUCAGAUUUAGUAUAAUUUAAAUGCAGGGGGCAUCUAUUGGUUAGGGGUUAUCUCACUUUGAAACAAAAGGCAGUGGGACACUGUUCACACUCCAUGAUAAUAAAAUCAAGACAAAAAGCUGAUACCGAGCUGUGGUCAGUGUCAUGAGUGACCACUUUGACUCUAGAGAUAGAAAAAUGAGUGAAAAAAUAAUAGGAAUCAUACUGAUUGCCCUUUUACAAAUAUUUAUCUGUACACACAUUUUAUAAAUAUUAAGAUAAAAUUUCUUGAGGUACAUUUGUAAUCUCAAUGAUUAAAUGAAUGAGAAAGAUUUAUUCUAUUUAACAAAGUAUAUUUUAUUCCUAUAUAGUGGCUUCUGUGAAGUAAAGUUAACGUAUUUGUUGGGCAUAGCUCUGUUGGGUGAGAAACUCUGACCUCAUAAAGGUUCUUCCUGACGUCAUGAGGAAUCCCGCCCUGCUGCCUAACACUUCAGACAGUCCCCCAUAUUGUGCUUGGGCAUGGCUGUCCUGUUUCUGCUGAUAUUAAGCUGUUCUCUGUGUCCACUUCUUCCCUUCUGAGGCCAGUGUGUCCCUCCUCACAGGCAGUUUCUAGGGACAGGCACUGACCCCUGCCUGUCUGUGAGCUGCAUCUGAUGCCACAGACUCACGGGAAAGUGCCGAGAAGCCUGCUCAUGGUCCACGUCCUGAGUCCCUAGCAAGCUGUUUUGGUCUGUUUGGGCUGCUACAAUGAUAAACAAUGCAAACUGGGUGGCUUACAAACAGCAGACAUUUAUUCCUAGCGGUUCUGAAGGCAGGAGUCAGAGAUCAGGGGGCCAGUGUGCUCGGGUUCUGGUGAGAGCCCCUUCUGGGUUGCAGAUGGUACCACCUCUGCCUCCUCACAGGGCAGAAGGAGGGAGGAGCUCCCUGGGGCUUCUUCAUCAGGGCACCAGUCCCAUUCCUGAGGGUUCACGACCUGAUCACCUGCUAACAGGCCCCACCUGCUAACACCAGCACCGUGCGCCUCAGGUUUUUAACAUGAAUGUUGGGGGUCACAUGCUUGAUCCAGAGGUCCAUUGGCCAACAUCGGUAUUUUUUUCACUCUGCGUUUUUUGGGGUAUAUGGAACAGCAUGUGAAAGUAAACAUGUCAGUCUAGUAUGUUAUGAAUCACAGUUUGUGAAGGACUAUUAAGCUAAUCUGAAAUGGACAGGGUUUUGCUGACUCAGUUUGGUCUUGUCAUGUUCUUUUGCUGUAAUAGCAGGUAGCUGAUCACUUUGCUUCAUGAUUUUUAGUCAGUUUAGCACUCUUUUAUUCUUUUGUAAACUGCUUUUUUUCUCUCUCUCUCCAUCUUGUCAAAUCAUUUUUAAUUUUUAUUUCAUCCCCUUAGUUGCUACACUUCCCAACUGGCUAUGACGCCAAACAAAUGCGUGUACCUGGUUUGGGUGUAAUUUCUGUAAAGACUGGCCACGCCCGUUUUGCUCUGCACACGGGGCUGAAUCGCGAGCGCCCGUGUUGCAUCUGCCCAGGUGGUACCUUGAAAAAUUUGAGGAUUAUCCGAAGUUCAGAAAAACUAUAAUUCCAUUUUUGUUUUAAAUCCAUUGUCAUCUUUGACUCGAAGCUUUUUGAUGGCUUUUCUCUAGGGAUUAUAUAAAUGAAUUAUCUGUGAUUUUGCCGCUACAUCUUUUUGUCCUAAUUUGCUCUAGGAAUUUUUUCCCUAGUGAAUGUGUAAGCUACCUAAUAAUAAUGCAGGUUGAAGCACUAUGCUGCCUACCAGGUGGAAUGUGAAACGGGGCGAUUACUGCUGGCCACUUCUCUGAUUUUGGAUGUACCUUUUCUGGCUACAUGCAGCCACGUGUGCAUAGGACCAGAAUUUGCAAGCCAUCCUUGAUGGCCUCUGUGGACCAAACUAUUUCACAACCCCUACAACAACUGACUCAUGGUCACUUCUGAUGUUGCCCUCUCCCCCCAGAGGCAUGACCCAUCUCUGCUGUCCCUUAUCCCACUGGAUCAGAGAGACUUGGGGCACUGGUCACAGCCUCAGGGAAACCCUGGGCCCUCACCCUUGGGGGUUGUGCAGGCAAGGAUGCAGAAGCACAGCUGAGGCCUGGACCAAAGGCAUCUGGCACUUGGCUCUGGCCUCGCCUGUUGGGUGACUUCACCAGCAGGGCAGCGACCAGAGGGCAUGCAUCAGGAGCUUGCCCAAAGGGACCUGUCACUCCACAGUGGCAGCACCAAGGUGCGACGUGGCAGGCCCCUUCUCUAGCCUCACCAUAAGCCAGCAGUGAGCAGCCUCCACUCUGAGACAGUCGUCUUGCUUUUCUCCUUCCUUUUAGUGUGACGAAGUUUUUAAGGCACUUUUUUUUUUUAAGUACCCCUCAAUGUUGCAAAACGAUAUUUUGGAACAGAAUUCCUUACUGCAGAUGCACAUGAAAUGUCCCCAGAGAUAAAUGGCAGUAAUGCAAUUUGCUGCAGAGCCACAGACCGUAAGAGAAAUGGAAACAAAGAAAUGGAUUUGGGUUCUCUGCAGUCACUAGGGUGCUGGCUGGCAGGAGGCCUCGGGGUGCCCAGAAGCUGUGUGUCCUGUGGAUGCACCUCCUGCCACUUUGGGCAGUGGGCAGGCCCCCCUGGCUAGGUCAUUGGCUCCCUCCAGCCUUCUCUCGGCUCACCUUCCCAACAAGGCCUCCCCAGCCCCUCACGAGCCCUGACAUAGAAACUGUAUUCUCACUGUUGGGGGAUUUAGAGUCUCUCAUGGGCUUAGAAUAACACAAAAAACUCUCCUGAUGCCCUUGUGCUUCAUUUUAACUAAAAAUAAUGUUUUGGCAAAGAGAUUUUUAUUAUUAAGUAAAUGUUGGGCCUUUUUCUGACCAAAUAGUUACUUGAAAACAUAAAGCAAUAAAUGCUUUGGAACUCCUCAGGAAAACGCAAAAGUCCAAGGGAGAUUGGGGCCCAUGUCCUGGAAGGUAUACCUGGCAGGGAGAAGGCAGCAUGCCUGAGCGCCAGUGACGCUGCUGUGAAGUGUACGGCAGUUGGUGAUUAGUUUAAUACACUUACUACUGUAAUGGCAUGCACUGCGGGGGAUUCACAUGAAGAAAUCCUAUUCUAUCUUGUCUCACUGCCGUCUAUAUCCUAAAACCUCUUAACUUGGUAAAUUGUCAUCAAUCAUUGAGUUAAUUUUAAUAAUCGAGAUUAAUAAAAUUGCUGCUACAAAUCUA